UCCCUGGUGGCUAAGAGGUUAAAGCGUCUGCCUGCAAUGCAGGAGACCUGGGUUCGAUCCCUGGUUUGGGAA
This 72-nucleotide transfer RNA is filed under the name Bos taurus (domestic cattle). It matches the Rfam family "tRNA". Rfam says of the family: Transfer RNA (tRNA) molecules are approximately 80 nucleotides in length. Their secondary structure includes four short double-helical elements and three loops (D, anti-codon, and T loops). The record is from Rfam by way of RNAcentral. RNAcentral also lists the same sequence under 5 other names. Lineage: Eukaryota; Metazoa; Chordata; Mammalia; Artiodactyla; Bovidae.